AUUGCCAACAACGAGAGUACCAGAAGUAUGGAGCACCAUCAACUCUAGAAGAAAAAAAAUGACCAUGUCAAGAGCAGAGGCGUGAUCCUUUCCUAUCUUCUCAAAGGAGAACUACCUGAUGCAGAACCCAUUCCCAAACCGAAACAAUACAAAGGUUAGGCUCUAGAAUAUCAAAAGAGAAAGAAAGCUGAUUCGUUCUAUCUUGGUCCAGGUUAUACAGUUUUGAGGUCGAAACCUUGUCAAGAGGGAGGGGAUGUUGUAGUCCUAAAAUCCGUGGUUCAGCUAGAGUCUCACCAAACCUCC
RNAcentral lists this long non-coding RNA (303 nucleotides) under Brassica napus (rape). RNAcentral's name for it is "long non-coding RNA (BNAP_LNC004431)". The record is from RNAcentral. Lineage: Eukaryota; Viridiplantae; Streptophyta; Magnoliopsida; Brassicales; Brassicaceae.